RNAcentral lists this ribosomal RNA (400 nucleotides) under uncultured bacterium. RNAcentral describes it as "bacterial SSU rRNA". It matches the Rfam family "Bacterial small subunit ribosomal RNA", at positions 355 to 772 of the family's 1533-position model. The record is from RNAcentral.
UGGGGAAUAUUGGACAAUGGGGGCAACCCUGAUCCAGCGAUGCCGCGUGAGUGAAGAAGGCCCUCGGGUUGUAAAACUCUUUCACCUGUGACGAUAAUGACGGUAGCAGGAGAAGAAGCACCGGCUAACUCUGUGCCAGCAGCCGCGGUAAGACAGAGGGUGCUAGCGUUGUUCGGAAUGACUGGGCGUAAAGGGCGCGUAGGCUGUUAAUCAAGUUAGGUGUGAAAGCCCCGGGCUUAACCUGGGAACUGCAUUUAAUACUGGUUGACUGGAGAGCGAGAGAGGAAAGCGGAAUUCCUAGUGUAGAAGUGAAAUCUGUAGAUAUUAGGAGGAACACCAGAGGCGAAGGCGGCUUUCUGGCUCGCAACUGACGCUGAGGCGCGAAAGCGUGGGGAGCAAA